AAUAGAUACCCUGGUAGUCCACGCCGUAAACCGAUGAGUGCUAAGUGGUUGGGGGUGACCCAACCCGUCGGUGCUGUCGCUAACGCAAUAAGCACUCCGCCUGGGGAGUACGGCCGCAAGGCUGAAACUCAAAGGAAUUGACGGGGGACCCGCACAAGCGGUGGAGCAUGUGGUUUAAUUCGAAGCAACGCGAAGAACCUUACCAAGGCUUGACAUCCCCCCUGAUCGGUCUAGAGAUAGAUCUUUCCCUUCGGGGACAGGGGUGACAGGUGGUGCAUGGUUGUCGUCAGCUCGUGUCGUGAGAUGUUGGGUUAAGUCCCGCAACGAGCGCAACCCUUAUCUUUAGUUGCCAGCAUUCAGUUGGGCACUCUAGAGAGACUGCCGGUGACAAACCGGAGGAAGGUGGGGAUGACGUCAAAUCAUCAUGCCCCUUAUGUCUUGGGCUACACACGUGCUACAAUGGUUGGUACAAAGGGCAGCAAGCCAGCGAUGGUAAGCAAAUACCCAGAAAAGCCAAUCUCAGUUCGGAUUGUAGG
Molecule: ribosomal RNA, 536 nt
Filed under: uncultured bacterium
Lineage: Bacteria
Description: bacterial SSU rRNA
Rfam family: Bacterial small subunit ribosomal RNA
Source: RNAcentral